Molecule: ribosomal RNA, 468 nt
Filed under: uncultured bacterium
Lineage: Bacteria
Description: partial 16S ribosomal RNA
Rfam family: Bacterial small subunit ribosomal RNA
Source: RNAcentral
GACGAACGCUGGCGGCGUGCUUAACACAUGCAAGUCGAACGGAAAGGCCCUGCUUUUGUGGGGUGCUCGAGUGGCGAACGGGUGAGUAACACGUGAGUAACCUGCCCUUGACUUUGGGAUAACUUCAGGAAACUGGGGCUAAUACCGGAUAGGAGCUCCUGCUGCAUGGUGGGGGUUGGAAAGUUUCGGCGGUUGGGGAUGGACUCGCGGCUUAUCAGCUUGUUGGUGGGGUAGUGGCUUACCAAGGCUUUGACGGGUAGCCGGCCUGAGAGGGUUACCGGCCACAUUGGGACUGAGAUACGGCCGAGACUCCUACGGGAGGCAGCAGUGGGGAAUAUUGAACAAUGGGCGGAAGCCUGAUGCAGCAACGCCGCGUGCGGGAUGACGGCCUUCGGGUUGUAAACCGCUUUCGCCUGUGACGAAGCGUGAGUGACGGUAAUGGGUAAAGAAGCACCGGCUAACUAAGUG